GCAAACUUGGUCAUUUAGAGGAAGUAAAAGUCGUAACAAGGUCUCCGUUGGUGAACCAGCGGAGGGAUCAUUAUCGAGUUAUUACAAACUCCCAAACCCAUGUGAACUUACCUUUUGUUGCUUCGGCGGUGCCGUCCCGGGCGCCUAGCUGCCUUUACGGUAGUUAUGUGUCCCGGAACCAGACGCCCGCCGGAGGACCUAAACUCUUUGUUUCCUGUAGUGGUAUCUCUGAGUGUAAAAAACAAAUGAAUCAAAACUUUCAACAACGGAUCUCUUGGUUCUGGCAUCGAUGAAGAACGCAGC
Molecule: unclassified non-coding RNA, 303 nt
Filed under: uncultured fungus
Lineage: Eukaryota; Fungi
Description: partial contains small subunit ribosomal RNA, internal transcribed spacer 1, and 5.8S ribosomal RNA
Rfam family: Eukaryotic small subunit ribosomal RNA (bases 1-73)
Source: RNAcentral